Non-coding RNA from Nothobranchius furzeri (turquoise killifish), 3988 nucleotides. The record is from RefSeq and is a predicted model, not a curated record. NCBI's taxonomy places the organism in Eukaryota, Metazoa, Chordata, Actinopteri, Cyprinodontiformes, Nothobranchiidae.
GCCACUAGAACACAGCAAAACUUGAGCGCACAUGUGCAGCGGGCCUCAGUGAAGCUGACCUCCAGUAAAAGCAAAUAGGCUGUGCGGUUAGUUUCUGAGAUAUUACACUUUAUUUUAUAGGUUAUUCUUAACCCUAACCCAGACUGCACCAAAACAGUUCAAAGUAGUCUACUUUUUAGUGCUAUGUUUGUGCUGGUUUGUGCUGUUGAAAUAUAAUUUGUGUUGCUAUGGUUUCUGAGAUAUAACAAGUUUUAUUGUUGUGUGAUGCUCCAAAACAUUCCAAAAUAGUCUACAUUUUAGUUCUUCGUUUGUGCAGUUAAAAUUGGGGCGACAGUGGCACAAACCUAUUUGCUUUUACUUUUCAAGUGGGGGAGAUCAGCUUCACUGAGCUCCGAUGCUGUGAAGGCAGGGAGAGGGGUGGCAUGCACAAAAUGCCUGUGAGACAAAUUACAUUAACUGAUAAGACCUGUAAAUAUUGGUGGGGACAAAUCUGUAAGAGGAGAAAGGAAAAUCAAACAAAGCUUCAGAAAGGUGAGGACAUGAGUGAAAACAGGACAGGCACCAAGGUUUGGACAAAUUUUAACUACAGUGACAAUUAAAAGACAGAGUGUAGAUUGUGCAAAGGGUAAAUAUAUCCAAAAGGCUAUAAUAGUUCAAAACUAAUACAAAUUUUACUUGCAGAGUUUGUUUUUGUCAUUUAAAAUGUGUUUAUGUAGCUCUCUGCUUCAUGUUGAAUAAAAUAAGUUAUUUAAACAAUAAACACUUGAUAAAAUGUAUAUUGUAGAUUAGUAAUUCAGUUUACAUACAGUUUUAUAUAAUUUCUGGUGAUAAAUUCAUUUAGGAAACGAAAAAUAUGAGGAGCUGUUUAAGAGCCGAAAGAGCCGGUUCAUUUUAGUGAGCCGAGCUGUAAGACCCUAACCUAGCAGCAGCCAGAUCUCUAUGUGUAGCCUCGUGUAGAGUCUACACAUUUAGAUCUAGACUCUCUGCAGCAGAAACCGGCUGAAAGAGGGAGGGCUGUGUGGUAGAAUAUUUUGAACUGACUGAAGGACGCGCAAGGUAGUGCCCGGCUGGCACUAGCUGGCUGCUGCCAGGAUAGGGCUCUUGAUACGAUCGUCAAAACGAACUCCCACCCUACAGCAAAGUGCUGACACACAAUUGGAUUGACCCAUUUUGGGCCGGAUGCCGGACGCUUUUAACUAGUGAUGGGAACCCUGGAUCUUUUAAGAGAACCAGUUCUUACGGCCAGCUGUAACACACCAAACAUGGCUUUUUUGCUAGAUUGGUUAUCUACACUGAACAAAAAUAUAAACGCAACACUUUUGUCUUUGCUCCCAUUUUUCAUGAGCUGAACUCAAACAGUUGAAACUUUUUCUACAUACACCAAACACCCAUGACCCUCAAAUAUUAUUCUGAAAUCUGUCUACAUGUGUGUUCUCGAGCACUUUUUCUUUACCAAGAUAAUCCAUCCCACCUCAAAGGUGUGGCAAAUCAAGGGGCUGAUUAGACAGCUUGAAUAAUGUAAAGGAGUGCCUUAGACUGCCCUUCAUAUUUCAAACUUUGCUAACUUUAUUAAUAACUCUGCUAAAUAGUCAUAGCCAUAGUUCAAAUUAUUGAUAAACUUGUGUUAAAUCAUCUAAUCUGACAUCUUUCCAGACAUGCAGAGCCAAUGCCCCUCAGGAGCUGGGAUUCCAGAGGAUUUCAAUGAGAAAGAGAAAACAGCAUCUUUCAAAAGAUAAAAGCUGAGAAACAAAAGCAAUGGGCUCGACCAAAGUUCUGAAGAUGAACCCACCUUGUGCACCCAAAGGCCUACAGGGAAAUCAAAGAAGAAGCAGACCAACAAAGGAACACCCACCCAUUCCCCUUCCCUGCUCACUGUCCAUGGUUUUACUCAAGGUUUGGUUCAGAUUUUCAAAUAUUUAAGUAACUGAAAAUGGCUAACAUGCAAUUCAUUCUCCCCAUAAAAGACUGAAAGAGAUUACCUUAAAAAAAGAAACUGAGGUUUGACAUUUUACAACAAGUAUGAACAACUUAACUACUUAGGGGCAGCAGUAGCUCAGGAGGUAGAGAGGAUUGUCCAGAAACCGGAAGGUUGCGGGUUUGAUCCCAGCUCCAACCAGAGAGUGCUGCUGUCGUGGCCUGCUGAACACUGGCGCCACCGGUCCCUCUGACCACCACCAGCAGGCAAAGCGAGUUAAGUGCCUUGCCCAAGGAAACAACAGCAGCAGAUUGUGUUGUGAAGCGCCUUGGGGGCCUUCGAAGGCGCUAUACCUAUACAGGCCAUUUAUUCCCAUUAAUUUCACAUUGUUGUCCUUAUUAUAAAUACAGAAAUGUAUUUGGGAUGUUUGAGUUCACAUAAACCUUUAUAGAAAGAUGGAAGUUCAUCAAAUCAUUACCAUAUUAACAUUUUAGGCACAAAGAUACUUGACUUCAGUUUUCCUUCAGUUAGAUGCUAAACUUUUUCUGUUUAUCAACAACAAUUAUAGAUCUGUUGAUACAUUUCCUAGCUACAGUUCAGAGUCUAAAAAAAACUUGUAUUAAGCCAUAUAAUCUAAAAUGUUUUUGUAGAUCAUCCAGAUAUGAUGAGCCAAGAACCUUCAGGAGCUGAGUGGUCUAAGGAGUCAAAUGGAAAGGACAAAACAGACAUGGAUCAACAGGAUUUAACCUCUAAGAAAUUCAACCGAAAGAUUUGGAGCAAAUCUGGGAAAGAAUCGGUUUGGCAACAGCUUGGUCGGUACAUCACUCUUGAAAGAGUUCCUGGUAAAAUGCUGUGUGUGAAAGCACUCAGUACAGAGACAGCACUUUAGAACAGAAGUUGGAAAGAUGUAAAAAACUGCAUCUAUAACCACAUCCCUGAGCAAAAAAGAAAAAGGCUGUAGUUUUUGCGUUAAAAGCAGCAGGAGCUGAGUUAAUGCAUGUAAUGUUACAAGCAGAGCAUUUAAUGAUACCUAGUUAUUUUUAUUUUAUGAGACAUUGGAAAUAUGUUAAAAACUAUAAUUAUAACAGCAUUGCAGAUCAAAAAUGUUACAAGCAGAGCAUUUUAUGGUACCUAAAGAUAUUUAAAUUUUAUUACAUGUUGGAAAGAUGUUAAAAACUAUAAGUAGAACAGCAUCACAGUAGCAUUGCAGGGAUUAAUCGUUUUGACUAUUAACCCUGGUUAACCCCAAGUAAAUAGAUCUUCAACACCAUCAAACUAAAACAAAAAGACAAUAGCGUAACUCGUAAGUACAAAAACAAAACUGAAACUGAACACGCGCCCGCAGCAGAAGCAUGAUCAGUGAAAACAACCAUCGGGACUCCUCCAUUUCUACCUCGGAAGAGGUUGAAUUCUCCUGUGUGGGAAUAGUUUAGAUAUAUUAGAUAUCAUCCCACACAGGAGACUUCAACCGCUUCUUAGGUGGAAAUGGAGGAGUCCCGAAGGUUGUUGUCACUGGUUCUGCUUCUGCUGCGUGAGCACGUUCAGUUUCACUUUUGUCUUUGUCCAUGAGGGUCAUGCCAUAGUCCUUUUUUUAUUGUUGGUGUGGUAGACAUCUUUAAGGGGGGUUAUCAGGGGUUAAUAGUCAAACUGGUUAAUCUCUGCAAGCCUACAUCACAGCUCAAAAAAGAAAAAAAACUGUAGUUGAUAUGUUUUAUUUUAAAAGCAGCAGAAGCUGAGUUAAUGCAUGCAAUGUUAAAUGCAGAGCAUUUAAUGGUACCUAAAGUUGUAUUAAUUUAUUAGAAGUUAGAAAUAUGUCAGAACUACUAGUAGAGCAGCAUCACAGCUCAAAAAGAAAAUAAAAACAAUAUUUGAAAAUUUUCUUUUUCAAAGCAGAAGGAUCUGAGUUCAUUUAUGUAAUUUUAUGCACCGUGUUUACUUUAUUUGGUAUCUAAAAUUUAUAUUUUAUCAGCAGAUGAAUUAGAAAGAUUUUAAAAACUGCAUGUAUAACUGCAUUUUAGCUCAAAAAAGAAAAAAGUAAACAUAUUCAAUUUUAAAAGAAACAGGAGCUGAGUU